ACGGUUCUGCCCAUCCUGUGCCAUAGGGGCUACAUUCCGGUGGCCUUAAGCAAUUCCGCGGGAGCUGGCUCUGUCUGGAUCCUGGUCCAGUUACCUGGCGCCCACCUGUAUAUACAGGUCUGCGGGAAUAAGUUCCCUUACGUUUGUGGUGGUUCCGUC
This 159-nucleotide small RNA is filed under the name Litoreibacter ponti. Its description in RNAcentral is "6S / SsrS RNA". The record is from RNAcentral. Lineage: Bacteria; Pseudomonadati; Pseudomonadota; Alphaproteobacteria; Rhodobacterales; Roseobacteraceae.